UGAUUACCGAGCUUGUUCGCCUAAGUUAUGAAAAAUAAUAUGGUGGCAAUGCCAGCGAUUAAUUGCUCAGGGAUCCGCGGGAAACGGUUGGUCCUUCCUUAUUUGAAAAGGUAUCUAUGU
This 120-nucleotide non-coding RNA is filed under the name pig gut metagenome. Its description in RNAcentral is "Moco (molybdenum cofactor) riboswitch". It matches the Rfam family "Molybdenum/Tungsten riboswitch aptamer (Moco RNA motif)", at positions 13 to 119 of the family's 135-position model. The record is from RNAcentral.